This 885-nucleotide ribosomal RNA is filed under the name uncultured bacterium. Its description in RNAcentral is "bacterial SSU rRNA". It matches the Rfam family "Bacterial small subunit ribosomal RNA", at positions 1 to 871 of the family's 1533-position model. The record is from RNAcentral.
UUUAGAGUUUGUUCCUGGUUCCGGACGAACGCUGCGGGCAUGCCUAAUACAUGCAAGUCGAACGGUGAAGCACUCUGCUUGCAGAGUGCGGAUGAGUGGCGAACGGGUGAGUAACACGUGGGGAAUCUGCCUAGGAGUGGGGGAUAACAUUCGGAAACGGAUGCUAAUACCGCAUAUCUUCUUAGACCGCAUGGUCUAUGAAUGAAAGACGGCUUUGCUGUCGCUCUUAGAUGAUCCCGCGGCGUAUUAGUUAGUUGGUGGGGUAAAGGCCUACCAAGACAAUGAUACGUAGCCGACCUGAGAGGGUGAUCGGCCACACUGGGACUGAGACACGGCCCAGACUCCUACGGGAGGCAGCAGUAGGGAAUCUUCCACAAUGGGUGCAAACCUGAUGGAGCAAUGCCGCGUGAAUGAAGAAGGUCUUCGGAUCGUAAAGUUCUGUUAUUAGUGAAGAACAAAUCGAGGAGUAACUGUCUCGAUUUUGACGGUAACUAACCAGAAAGUCACGGCUAACUACGUGCCAGCAGCCGCGGUAAUACGUAGGUGACAAGCGUUGUCCGGAAUUAUUGGGCGUAAAGGGAGCGCAGGCGGUUGGAAUAGUCUGAUGUGAAAGCCCACGGCUUAACCGUGGAAGGUCAUUGGAAACUGUCCAACUUGAAUGCAGAAGAGGUAAGUGGAAUUCCAUGUGUAGCGGUGAAAUGCGUAGAUAUAUGGAGGAACACCAGUGGCGAAGGCGACUUACUGGUCUGUGAUUGACGCUGAGGCUCGAAAGCGUGGGUAGCGAACAGGAUUAGAUACCCUGGUAGUCCACGCCGUAAACGAUGAGUGCUAAGUGUUGGAGGGUUUCCGCCCUUCAGUGCUGGAGUUAACGCAUUAAGCACUCCG